ACUGCGAAUACCGGAGAAUGUUAUCACGGGAGACACACGGCGGGUGCUAACGUCCGUCGUGAAGAGGGAAACAACCCAGACCGCCAGCUAAGGUCCCAAAGUCAUGGUUAAGUGGGAAACGAUGUGGGAAGGCCCAGACAGCCAGGAUGUUGGCUUAGAAGCAGCCAUCAUUUAAAGAAAGCGUAAUAGCUCACUGGUCGAGUCGGCCUGCGCGGAAGAUGUAACGGGGCUAAACCAUGCACCGAAGCUGCGGCAGCGAACGUAUCACCCAAGACAACUUUACGGAGUUGACGAUUGACGGAGCGAAGCGACGUCAAAGCGUUCAUUAAAGUCGAGUUGGCUUAGGGAUACGUUCGUUGGGUAGGGGAGCGUUCUGUAAGCCUGUGAAGGUGUGUCGUGAGGCAUGCUGGAGGUAUCAGAAGUGCGAAUGCUGACAUAAGUAACGAUAAAGCGGGUGAAAAGCCCGCUCGCCGGAAGACCAAGGGUUCCUGUCCAACGUUAAUCGGGGCAGGGUGAGUCGACCCCUAAGGCGAGGCCGAAAGGCGUAGUCGAUGGGAAACGGGUUAAUAUUCCCGUACUUGGUGUUACUGCGAAGGGGGGACGGAGAAGGCUAUGUUGGCCGGGCGACGGUUGUCCCGGUUUAAGCGUGUAGGUGUGUGUUCCAGGUAAAUCCGGUUCACUUUAACACUGAGGCGUGACGACGAGGCACUACGGUGCUGAAGCAACAAAUGCCCUGCUUCCAGGAAAAGCCUCUAAGCAUCAGGUAACAUCAAAUCGUACCCCAAACCGACACAGGUGGUCAGGUAGAGAAUACCAAGGCGCUUGAGAGAACUCGGGUGAAGGAACUAGGCAAAAUGGUGCCGUAACUUCGGGAGAAGGCACGCUGACACGUAGGUGAAGUGAUUUACUCAUGGAGCUGAAGUCAGUCGAAGAUACCAGCUGGCUGCAACUGUUUAUUAAAAACACAGCACUGUGCAAACACGAAAGUGGACGUAUACGGUGUGACGCCUGCCCGGUGCCGGAAGGUUAAUUGAUGGGGUCAGCGCAAGCGAAGCUCCUGAUCGAAGCCCCGGUAAACGGCGGCCGUAACUAUAACGGUCCUAAGGUAGCGAAAUUCCUUGUCGGGUAAGUUCCGACCUGCACGAAUGGCGUAAUGAUGGCCAGGCUGUCUCCACCCGAGACUCAGUGAAAUUGAACUCGCUGUGAAGAUGCAGUGUACCCGCGGCAAGACGGAAAGACCCCGUGAACCUUUACUAUAGCUUGACACUGAACAUUGAGCCUUGAUGUGUAGGAUAGGUGGGAGGCUUUGAAGUGUGGACGCCAGUCUGCAUGGAGCCGACCUUGAAAUACCACCCUUUAAUGUUUGAUGUUCUAACGUGGACCCGUUA
RNAcentral lists this ribosomal RNA (1388 nucleotides) under Salmonella enterica. RNAcentral describes it as "partial 23S ribosomal RNA". It matches the Rfam family "Bacterial large subunit ribosomal RNA", at positions 953 to 2238 of the family's 2925-position model. Lineage: Bacteria; Pseudomonadati; Pseudomonadota; Gammaproteobacteria; Enterobacterales; Enterobacteriaceae. The record is from RNAcentral.